CCUACGGGAGGCAGCAGUAGGGAAUCUUCCACAAUGGGCGAAAGCCUGAUGGAGCAACGCCGCGUGGGUGAAGAAGGUCUUCGGAUCGUAAAACCCUUUUGUUAGAGAAGAAAGUGCGUGAGAGUAACUGUUCACGUUUCGACGGUAUCUAACCAGAAAGCCACGGCUAAUUACGUGCCAGCAGCCGCCGUAAUACGUAGGUGGCUAGCGUUAUCCGGAUUUAUUGGGCGUAAAGGGAACGCAGGCGGUCUUUUAAGUCUGAUGGGAAAGCCUUCGGCUUAACCGGAGUAGUGCAUUGGAAACUGGGAGACUUGAGUGCAGAAGAGGAGAGUGGAACUCCAGGUGUAGCGGUGAAAUGCGUAGAUAUAUGGAAGAACCCCAGUGGCGAAGGCGGCUCUCUGGUCUGUAACUGACGCUGAGGUUCGAAAGCGUGGGUAGCAAACAGGAUUAGAUACCCGGGUAGUC
This 465-nucleotide ribosomal RNA is filed under the name uncultured bacterium. Its description in RNAcentral is "partial 16S ribosomal RNA". It matches the Rfam family "Bacterial small subunit ribosomal RNA", at positions 338 to 795 of the family's 1533-position model. The record is from RNAcentral.